This 2433-nucleotide ribosomal RNA is filed under the name Triticum aestivum (bread wheat). RNAcentral describes it as "partial small subunit ribosomal RNA". The record is from RNAcentral. Lineage: Eukaryota; Viridiplantae; Streptophyta; Magnoliopsida; Poales; Poaceae.
GGAUGUGAACAUUGUCCGAGGUUGCCAAACCAGAUGAAAGAACAGGGAAAGACAUUGAGCUCACUGCCAAAGAUUGUUAUUCUGCGAAGAUAUAUCUCAUCUCUAAUUAUAGUAUUUCGUAGUGUCAUGCUGAUUAUAUAGUUCAUCUUUGGCCUUGCACCGUGGUUGUGGUAAUAUUUGUUGUUUUUUCCUACCUGUACAGUUUAGGUCGGGUUUGAUCAUCUCCCCAGUACCCCAUGCCUGGCUCCCUUAAUGUUCAUAUUCCACAUUUCCUUUUUCACUAACUAGUCUCUCCAGUCUGACCUAUGCGUUUGUGUUAAUGUGUCAACAAACUUAAUUUAUUUGAAAACUAGACAUUGCAUUUCAAAAUUCGUUACAGUAUAAAGAACAAGAAAUCCAUCAUUGCAAAGAUGACAAAUAUAUAACAAAAGCAUGCACUGAACUAUUCCGAUUGUUUUUUUUAGAAUAACAAACUCAUGAGUUGGUUCAGGUAGAUAUGCGACUAUGUCAUCGACAUCGAUAUAACAAUAUAUAUUCAUUGGUCCAUUUCAAACAAUCAGAAUAUAUACUUAUGUGAAGCAGAGAGGGCACCAUGGAGAAGGUGAGGUGGGCAUCAUCCAGUUUUAAAGGGGAGGGCUCCAGCAAGAAAUGUACCGCUACGGCGAGAAACCGAGCUGGAAAGGGAGCGUCCAGCAGAAAAAUGGCAGGGUGCGUCAGGGGGUGGCAUUUUGCAGAAUGGUCUGGGGAGGUUCGCAACAUUGUCUACUCAUCUGAUGGGAAAAUCUCUAUCUGUUGCGUAUCGUGUGACUAUGGAACUGAUGCAGAGGUGCCCUUCUUUGCUUGGGAGUUUGAAUCCGGUUUGGCUCUCACCGAUCUUGCCUGCUCAGUUUUUGAGUGUAUAACCAGUUUGUAGGUCCUACUAUUUGAUUAGUGGAUGCGACUGAUGGGGGCAUGGAGAUGAUGGCGAGGCAUCGUGUUGUGGUGGCGGUGAUGAAGGUAACCUCGUCGAUGGCGGCGGCGACGGGUGGCUGUUGACGAAAGCGAUUCGGGGAUGGGGGAUGUGGAGUGGCAAGGGAUGGAGGCGUAGAACUGCAGCCGGGGAGACGGAGUGGCGGCAAGAUUGGACGAGCUCGCCUGCGGAGUGCGUGGGCAAGAUUUCCCUUUCCGGGUCAAACGAGGGCUUCCUUCUAUGUGGAUUCUACGGAUGUUCUCCCAUAACCUCUUGAAGUGAUGCAAUGCGACGAUCUUCAACCAUGAAAAUGAAACUGCCAGCGUGGACGGAAACUGCCAGCAUGGACGGCCUACUCCUAUGAUCUCACAGGUUCUUGCUUACACUGGGAAUGAUGAGGCUAACAAGUUUUUCCUUGGAGGUGAGAUGUCACUUGACAACACGAAGGAUAAUUCGUUUUGAUGUCUCUGUUGUGUGUGCGCGGGCAUGUGCCAAAGGCGUCUAAUAGAACCCAGGUGAAGGCGAAGGAGGUUUGGCUCUCAGACAUGUGUAACACUCGAUGAUAACAACGUGCAGACUGAAAAUAUGGAUCCCAAUUUCAAAGCCAUAUCCAAUUAGUUUGUCUCUCAAAAAAAUACAACAAAUGCUAAAGGAUGAUUUACCCAUGGAGGCAUGGACCGAGAUUGCUUUAAUUUGGUCGUACGGAAGAUUAUGUUUGAUGACAUCCAAAUGGCACAAAAAACAAAACAAUUAAUAGACAAACAUUAUCUCGACAUGAAAUUUUGGACUUGCUUGCUGGUGGCUGGUGCCCUGCAGGGACCAGGUGGUGCCGUCGGCCGCGGCGCCGCCGCCACCGUCGUUGCAGCAGCUAGGCCGGGAGUAGCCGAGCAGGGAAGAAGCAUAAUUGUUUUCUAUAUUCUGCUCCUCCCACCGACCAGUUGAGGGUUGGAGUCAUCGGACAGCGCCGUCAGGCGUCAGCUAAGUUAAAGAAUUGAGAAUUGGACGACUGGCCGGUUCGUACGGCUGCUCUUAGUGCUCUGCCGAUUUGGCCUUCGGAUUGUUGCCUGCUUAACUGCUUGUGGGAUGUAUAAGCACAAAAAACAGUUCAAAAAAUUACAAAUGAAAUAUAAUAUUUCAAAAAAAUGUUCAUCACCAUAAAAAUGAUAAUUUUUUAAAAAUGUUCUCGAAUUUUUUAUUUAAAAUACACCUCAUAAUAAAAAUAUUUGUGCUUUCUGAACAACCAAAAAAAAUACUUUCAUCUGAUGAAAUGAAAGUGCAUAGCUGAAAUAGGUAUGACGAACAUUGUUAGGGUACGACCAAAUUUCAUGGUCCAAAAAAAUCAUAGUUAAAAAAGGCGCGCCUAGAUUCUAGGCGUUGGCAAAUACUCAGUGUAAUCUUAUUUUUGACGUUUGCAAAAGUAGGACUAAAAAGUGUUGAAUAAUGGCACAUGGAGCAGGUUUUAAUUUUUUGCCCCGAGAUCUCCA